UGGGGAAUUUUGGACAAUGGGGGCAACCCUGAUCCAGCCAUGCCGCGUGCAGGAUGAAGGCCUUCGGGUUGUAAACUGCUUUUGUUAGGAACGAAAAGCUAUCCACUAACAGUGGGUAGUGCUGACGGUACCUAAAGAAUAAGCACCGGCUAACUACGUG
Molecule: ribosomal RNA, 160 nt
Filed under: uncultured bacterium
Lineage: Bacteria
Description: partial 16S ribosomal RNA
Rfam family: Bacterial small subunit ribosomal RNA
Source: RNAcentral